UACAUGGGGUGCAAACGUUGCUCGGAAUUAUUGGGCGUAAAGCGCGCGUAGGCGGUUACUUAAGUUGGAUGUGAAAGCCCUCGGCUUAACUGAGGAAGUGCAUCCAAAACUGAGUAGCUAGAGUACGAAAGAGGGUCGCGGAAUUCCCGGUGUAGAGGUGAAAUUCGUAGAUAUCGGGAGGAACACCGGUGGCGAAGGCGGCAUUCUGGACCGAUAUUGACGCUGAGGAGCGAAAGCCAGGGGAGCAAACGGG
This 253-nucleotide ribosomal RNA is filed under the name uncultured bacterium. Its description in RNAcentral is "partial 16S ribosomal RNA". It matches the Rfam family "Bacterial small subunit ribosomal RNA", at positions 524 to 776 of the family's 1533-position model. The record is from RNAcentral.